CUCAACCCCGGAAUGGCUUUGGAUACUGCCUGGCUUGAGUACGUCAGAGGUGAGCGGAAUUCCAGGUGUAGCGGUGAAAUGCGUAGAUAUCUGGAGGAACAUCCGUGGCGAAAGCGGCUCACUGGGACGACACUGACGCUGAGGCUCGAAAGCGUGGGGAGCGAACGGGAUUAGAUACCCCGGUAGUCCACGCCGUAAACGUUGUGCACUAGGUGUGGGAGGUGUCGACCCCUUCCGCGCCGAAGCUAACGCAUUAAGUGCACCGCCUGGGGAGUACGGUCGCAAGACUGAAACUCAAAGGAAUUGACGGGGGCCCGCACAAGCGGUGGAGCAUGUGGUUUAAUUCGAGGCAACGCGAAGAACCUUACCCAGACUUGACAUCCCGCGACAACCCUGGAAACAGGGCCUUCCCUUCGGGGACGC
RNAcentral lists this ribosomal RNA (423 nucleotides) under uncultured bacterium. RNAcentral's name for it is "bacterial SSU rRNA". It matches the Rfam family "Bacterial small subunit ribosomal RNA", at positions 608 to 1029 of the family's 1533-position model. The record is from RNAcentral.